Molecule: ribosomal RNA, 845 nt
Filed under: Halobyssothecium thailandica
Lineage: Eukaryota; Fungi; Ascomycota; Dothideomycetes; Pleosporales; Lentitheciaceae
Description: SSU rRNA
Rfam family: Eukaryotic small subunit ribosomal RNA
Source: RNAcentral
UUCUAGAGCUAAUACAUGCUGAAAACCCCGACUUCGGAAGGGGUGUAUUUAUUAGAUAAAAAACCAAUGCCCUUCGGGGCUCCUUGGUGAUUCAUAAUAACUUCUCAGAUCGCAUGGCCUUGCGCCGGCGACGGUUCAUUCAAAUUUCUGCCCUAUCAACUUUCGAUGGUAAGGUAUUGGCUUACCAUGGUUUCAACGGGUAACAGGGAAUUAGGGUUUGAUUCUGGAGAAGGAGCCUGAGAAACGGCUACUACAUCCAAGGAAGGCAGCAGGCGCGCAAAUUACCCAAUCCCGACACGGGGAGGUAGUGACAAUAAAUACUGAUACAGGGCUCUUUUGGGUCUUGUAAUUGGAAUGAGUACAAUUUAAACCUCUUAACGAGGAACAAUUGGAGGGCAAGUCUGGUGCCAGCAGCCGCGGUAAUUCCAGCUCCAAUAGCGUAUAUUAAAGUUGUUGCAGUUAAAAAGCUCGUAGUUGAACCUUUGGCCUGGCUGGCAGGUCCGCCUCACCGCGUGCACUUGUCCGGCCGGGCCUUCUCUUCUGGAGAACCGCAUGCCCUUCACUGGGUGUGUUGGGGACCAGGACUUUUACUUUGAAAAAAUUAGAGUGUUCAAAGCAGGCCUUUGCUCGAAUACGUUAGCAUGGAAUAAUAGAAUAGGACGUGCGGUUCUAUUUUGUUGGUUUCUAGGACCGCCGUAAUGAUUAAUAGGGACAGUCGGGGGCAUCAGUAUUCAAUUGUCAGAGGUGAAAUUCUUGGAUUUAUUGAAGACUAACUACUGCGAAAGCAUUUGCCAAGGAUGUUUUCAUUAAUCAGUGAACGAAAGUUAGGGGAUCGAAGACGAUCA